ACGAAGGUGGCAAGCGUUGCUCGGAAUUACUGGGCAUAAAGAGCGCGUAGGUGGCUUGGUUAGCGGGUGAUGAAAUCCCAUGGCUCACCCAUGGAACUGUUACCCGAACUGCCAAGCUUGAGGACGGUAGGGGAAAGUGGAAUUCCUGGUGUAGCGGUGAAAUGCGUAGAUAUCAGGAGGAACGCCGGUGGCGAAAGCGACUUUCUGGACCGUUCCUGACACUGAGGCGCGAAAGCUAGGGGAGCAAACAGG
RNAcentral lists this ribosomal RNA (252 nucleotides) under uncultured bacterium. Its description in RNAcentral is "partial 16S ribosomal RNA". It matches the Rfam family "Bacterial small subunit ribosomal RNA", at positions 525 to 776 of the family's 1533-position model. The record is from RNAcentral.